UACGGGGGGAGCAAGCGUUGUUCGGAUUUACUGGGCGUAAAGGGCGGGUAGGCGGCCACCGCAAGUCGACUGUGAAAUCUCCGGGCUUAACCCGGAAAGGUCAGCCGAUACUGCGGGGCUAGAGUGCAGAAGGGGCAACUGGAAUUCUCGGUGUAGCGGUGAAAUGCGUAGAUAUCGAGAGGAACACCUGCGGCGAAGGCGGGUUGCUGGGCUGACACUGACGCUGAUGCGCGAAAGCCAGGGGAGCGAACGGG
This 254-nucleotide ribosomal RNA is filed under the name uncultured bacterium. RNAcentral describes it as "partial 16S ribosomal RNA". It matches the Rfam family "Bacterial small subunit ribosomal RNA", at positions 524 to 776 of the family's 1533-position model. The record is from RNAcentral.